This 433-nucleotide ribosomal RNA is filed under the name uncultured bacterium. RNAcentral describes it as "partial 16S ribosomal RNA". It matches the Rfam family "Bacterial small subunit ribosomal RNA", at positions 29 to 507 of the family's 1533-position model. The record is from RNAcentral.
AACGAACGCUGGCGGCAUGCCUAACACAUGCAAGUCGAACGAGACCUUCGGGUCUAUUGGCGCACGGGUUCGUAACGCGUGGGAACCUGCCCUUAUGUUCGGAAUAACUCCCCGAAAGGGGUACUAAUACCGGAUAAUGUCUUCUGACCAAAGAUUUAUUGCCCUUGGUUGGGCCCGCGUUGGAUUAGCUAGUUGUUAGGGUAAAAGCCUACCAAGGCGACGAUCCAUAGCUGGGUUGAGAGGAUGAUCAGCCACACUGGGACUGAGAAACGGCCCAGACUCCUACGGGAGGCAGCAGUGGGGAAUAUUGGAAAAUGGGCGAAAGCCUGAUCCAGCAAUGCCGCGUGAGUGAUGAAGGCCUUAGGGUUGUAAAGCGCUUUUAACCGGGAUGAUAAUGACAGUACCGGGAGAAUAAGCCCCGGCUAACUCCGUG